GAUGAACGCUGGCGGCGUGCUUAACACAUGCAAGUCGAACGGAAAGGCCCAAGCUUGCUUGGGUACUCGAUUGGCGAACGGGUGGGUAACACGUGUGGGAUCUGCCCUGCACUUCGGGAUAAGCCUGGGAAACUGGGUCUAAUACCCGAUAGGACCACAUUAUGCAUGGUGUGGUGUAAAGUUUUUCGGUGUUGGAUGAGCUCGCGGCCUAUCAGCUUGUUGGUGGGGUAAUGGCAUACCAAGGCGUCGACGGGUAGCCGGCAUGAGAGGGGGUACGGCCACCUUGGGACUGAGAUAGGGAGCAGAAUCGUAUGGGCGGCAGUAGUCGGGAAUAUUGCGCAAUGGGCGCGAGCCUGUUGCAGAGACGCCGGGUGGGGGAUGCCGGCCUUCGGGUGGUAAACUCCUUUCGAUAGGGCCGAAGCGCAAGUGACGGUACCUGGAGAAGAAGCAACGGCUAACUACGUG
Molecule: ribosomal RNA, 465 nt
Filed under: uncultured bacterium
Lineage: Bacteria
Description: partial 16S ribosomal RNA
Rfam family: Bacterial small subunit ribosomal RNA
Source: RNAcentral